This 272-nucleotide long non-coding RNA is filed under the name Elaeis guineensis (African oil palm). Its description in RNAcentral is "long non-coding RNA (EGUI_LNC042355)". The record is from RNAcentral. Lineage: Eukaryota; Viridiplantae; Streptophyta; Magnoliopsida; Arecales; Arecaceae.
GCCGGAGCACCCCCAACUCUGGUUUAGACUUUCUUUGCAGGUCCCGAUGGCGACCGCGGUCAUCCCAGCUCUUGCUUCUCCAACUUCGAUGAAAUUCUGCACCAACAUCUAUUUUAUUAAUAAUAUAAAUAUCAAUUAUAUAAGUUUGAAAUAUAAAUUAUAAUAAAUAUCCUAUCGCAUCCCAUAUGCGAUUGGCUUGUAGGACAUUAUUCUUUCACCCCUUUGUCUCACUUGCAUGCAUUGCCAGUGUCUCCACACUCGCAUGCCAUGCC